Molecule: ribosomal RNA, 265 nt
Filed under: uncultured bacterium
Lineage: Bacteria
Description: partial 16S ribosomal RNA
Rfam family: Bacterial small subunit ribosomal RNA
Source: RNAcentral
GUCCAUGCCGUAAACGUUGGGCACUAGGUGUGGGGGACAUUCCACGUUUUCCGCGCCGUAGCUAACGCAUUAAGUGCCCCGCCUGGGGAGUACGGCCGCAAGGCUAAAACUCAAAGGAAUUGACGGGGGCCCGCACAAGCGGCGGAGCAUGCGGAUUAAUUCGAUGCAACGCGAAGAACCUUACCAAGGCUUGACAUGGGCCGGACCGGGCUGGAAACAGUCCUUCCCCUUUGGGGCCGGUUCACAGGUGGUGCAUGGUUGUCGU